RNAcentral lists this ribosomal RNA (252 nucleotides) under uncultured bacterium. Its description in RNAcentral is "partial 16S ribosomal RNA". It matches the Rfam family "Bacterial small subunit ribosomal RNA", at positions 524 to 776 of the family's 1533-position model. The record is from RNAcentral.
UACGUAGGGGGCGAGCGUUGUCCGGAAUGACUGAGCGUAAAGGGUACGUAGGCGGCUGAGUAAGUCAGGUGUGAAAUUCUAGGGCUCAACCCUAGUGAGCACUUGAAACUGCUUGGCUUGAGUCGAGGAGAGGAAGAUGGAAUUCCUGGUGUAGCGGUGAAAUGCGUAGAUAUCAGGAGGAAUACCAGUGGCGAAGGCGACCUUCUGGCCUUGGACUGACGCUGAGGUACGAAAGCGUGGGGAGCAAACAGG